UCGCUUCCGGAAGUGUCUACUGCGGCACCAUGCUAUCCGAGCUGGGUUUAAUCGGGACCAUAGGCGAAGAUGACGAGGUGCCGGUGGAGCCCGAGUCUGACUCCGGAGACGAGGAAGAGGAGCUCCAUGGUCACCCUGCCUCUCCGUCUUCCCAGGGGCCCAUUGUGCUGGGCAGAAGGCAGAAAGCCUUGCAGAAGAACCGCAGUGCCGAUUUCAACCCUGAUUUCAUUUUCACUGAGAAGGAGGGGAUGUAUGAUGGCAGCUGGGCCCUGGCUGAUGUCAUGAGCCAGCUCAAGAAGAAGAGGGCUGCCACUACGUUAGAUGAGAAGAUUGAGAAAGUUCGAAAGAAAAGGAAAACAGAGGGUAAAGAAGCCAAGUCUGGGAACUUGGAGAAGGAGAAAGAAGGAGAGGAAGGCUCUAAACCACAGGAGCAGGAAGACCUUGAAGGGAAAGAUAAGGAAGGUUCAGAAGAUGAAGAAUCGGAGACCGACUACUCAUCGGCUGAUGAGACCAUCCUCACCAAAGCAGAUACACUCAAGGUAAAGGAGAAGAAGAAGAAGAAGAGAGGACAGGAAGCAGGAGGAUUUUUUGAAGAUGCAUCUCAGUAUGAUGAAAACCUCUCAUUCCAGGACAUGAACCUUUCGCGCCCUCUGUUGAAGGCCAUUACAGCCAUGGGCUUCAAGCAGCCCACCCCAAUCCAGAAGGCGUGCAUACCUGUGGGACUCUUGGGGAAGGACAUCUGUGCCUGUGCAGCCACUGGGACAGGUAAAACUGCUGCUUUUGCCCUGCCCGUCCUGGAGCGGCUGAUCUACAAACCCCGCCAGGCUCCAGUGACCCGCGUGCUGGUGCUGGUCCCUACCCGAGAGCUGGGCAUCCAGGUACACUCUGUCACCAAGCAGCUAGCCCAGUUCUGCAAUAUCACCACCUGCCUGGCUGUGGGUGGCCUGGAUGUGAAGUCUCAGGAAGCAGUUCUUCGGGCAGCGCCUGACAUCCUCAUUGCCACCCCAGGUCGGCUCAUUGAUCACCUCCACAACUGCCCUUCCUUCCACCUGAAUAGCAUCGAAGUGCUCAUACUCGAUGAGGCUGACAGGAUGCUGGACGAGUACUUUGAGGAGCAGAUGAAGGAGAUCAUUCGAAUGUGUUCCCACCACCGCCAGACGAUGCUCUUCUCGGCCACCAUGACGGACGAGGUGAAAGACCUGGCUUCUGUCUCCUUGAAGAAUCCCGUCCGCAUAUUUGUGAACAGCAACACGGACGUGGCUCCCUUCUUGCGGCAGGAAUUCAUACGGAUCCGGCCCAAUCGGGAAGGAGACCGGGAAGCCAUCGUGGCAGCUCUGUUGACGAGAACCUUUACCGACCACGUGAUGCUGUUCACCCAGACCAAGAAACAGGCGCACCGCAUGCACAUCCUCCUGGGGCUCAUGGGGCUGCAGGUGGGCGAGCUGCAUGGCAACCUGUCCCAGACGCAGCGGCUGGAGGCCCUCCGGCGCUUUAAGGAUGAACAGAUUGACAUCCUCGUGGCCACAGAUGUGGCAGCCCGUGGUCUUGACAUUGAGGGGGUCAAAACGGUCAUCAACUUCACGAUGCCCAAUACUAUCAAGCAUUACGUCCACCGGGUGGGGCGAACAGCGCGUGCCGGCAGGGCUGGGCGCUCGGUCUCUCUGGUGGGAGAAGAGGAGCGGAAAAUGCUGAAGGAGAUCGUGAAGGCCGCCAAGGCCCCUGUGAAGGCUCGGAUACUCCCCCAAGAUGUUAUCCUCAAAUUCCGGGACAAAAUCGAGAAAAUGGAGAAAGACGUGUAUGCCGUUCUGCAGCUAGAGGCAGAGGAAAAGGAGAUGCAGCAGUCGGAAGCGCAGAUCAACACAGCAAAGCGGCUCCUGGAGAAGGGGAAGGAGGCCCGGGACCAAGAGCCUGAGAGGAGCUGGUUCCAGACCAAAGAAGAGAGGAAGAAGGAAAAAAUUGCCAAGGCUCUGCAGGAAUUUGACUUGGCCUUAAGAGGAAAGAAGAAAAGGAAGAAGUUCAUGAAGGAUGCCAAGAAAAAGGGGGAGAUGACGGCAGAGGAAAGGUCUCAGUUUGAAAUCCUCAAGGCGCAGAUGUUUGCUGAGCGACUGGCCAAGAGGAAUCGCAGAGCCAAGCGAGCCCGAGCAAUGCCUGAGGAGGAACCAGCGAGAGGCCCUGCCAAGAAGCAAAAGCAGGGGAAGAAAUCUGUAUUUGAUGAAGAACUCACCAACACGAGCAAGAAGGCCCUGAAACAGUAUCGAGCUGGCCCUUCCUUUGAAGAAAGGAAAAAGUUGGGCUUGCCCCACCAGAGACGAGGAGGAAACUUUAAAUCUAAAUCCAGAUACAAGAGGAGGAAGUAACUGUGGCAACCUGGAGAAGUUCAUGGGGCAACCCUUAACUCCCUUCCCUGUGGGAAGUCAUCCUGGCUUGAAGUAAAAGCUAUUAUUGAGCACCAACCACGUGCCAGACAUUCUGUGUGCUGAGCAGUGACUAACUCAACUCACUGCACCCCUAUGAUCUCCAUUUUGCUGAUAAAGAGGCUUGGAAAGCCUGACUUUCCAGAGUUACAUACCCGGGAAUCCAGAUUUUUGAAGCCAGUGUCUACUUGAACCCAUGCCCUGACUCUUACUGCUAUACUGUGGAAGUGCUGCUGGAGAAAUGGAAGCUGAAAGAGGACAAAAGGAGCCCCGACACCAUAAAUUAGCACCUCAUUGCAGAAACCAGCUUUUACCCUGUAGAGUGGUGGUUAUCAUCCUUUUCUGAAUCACAGGUCAGAAAUUUGAGAAUUACCUGAAAGCUGUGAGGUUACCCCUUGGGAAAACUUUUUCGUAGUUCAUGUCAUAUAUAAUUCCAGGGAGUACACAGACAUCCCCCUUCCCCAGCUUAAAAAUUAUAAUAGUUACCCUGUAGCACACACCCUGGACACUAAAGGGUGUGUUCAAAGCUCUUUAUUCAGGCUGUACCUAAGAGUCACCAACAGAAGUUCCAAUCAAGAAAAUGGUGGUACCCUUGUGAUGGAGUUUGGAUGUAUUGUCCUCCCAGAAUUCAUGGAAAUUUGAUCCCAAAUGUGGCAGUGUUGGAAACUG
Molecule: RNA transcript, 3083 nt
Organism: Galeopterus variegatus (Sunda flying lemur)
Lineage: Eukaryota; Metazoa; Chordata; Mammalia; Dermoptera; Cynocephalidae
Gene: DDX27
Gene name: DEAD (Asp-Glu-Ala-Asp) box polypeptide 27
Exons: 22
Source: RefSeq, a predicted model, not a curated record